Molecule: long non-coding RNA, 1398 nt
Filed under: Lathyrus oleraceus (garden pea)
Lineage: Eukaryota; Viridiplantae; Streptophyta; Magnoliopsida; Fabales; Fabaceae
Description: Pisum sativum (pea) long non-coding RNA (PSAT_LNC036832)
Source: RNAcentral
GUCAAUCUAUGAUCUACUCUACUCAUAAACAGGAGAUUAUAAAUAAAUCUAUCUUUUAAAUUUAAAACUCAUUCCAGAUGCACAUGCAAUAAUGCUCAUAAAAAAAUCAAAUAGAAAUAAAAAGUCUCAAAAGACUCUUUACAAAAUGUGAGAUUAGCAGUAAAACAACCAUACUGUCAUCUCUUUACCACUUUACCAGGAAGUCUCUAAUCACCAAUCUUAAACCGAAAUCGCAACAAAAUCUCAGCUAAUAAAAUUGGUAACGAAAAAAGAUAAUAAAACCAACAAUAUUUCAAAACAAAAUCUAAAGGAACGAAAAUACAACAAGAAUUUUAAUGUUUAAUGUCUUUUCCUCAUAAUAGUCUCUCUGCUUCUUUUGCUUAAGAAUCACACUCCGUAAUGACAAAAGAAACCAGAAAAAUAUGAAGAAACAAAAAUUGGAAAUUCAAACGACAAGAGUUACCAACUAAGAUCAUUAAUCGCAGGGUGUAGUUCAUGUUGUUGUAUGGCGCGUGAACGGUGACGGCAGAGUCACAUCCAUGGUAAAACAACAGGGCUUUGUUAUUUUGCUUUACCCACUUUGGCACAUCCUUUUUGAUUAAGAAAAUUGAUCUAACGAAUUCACUUGGUGGUUGUGAGUUGUUGCCAGAAAACAGAUCGCGGCGGAGAUGUGAAGAAGAAUAGGAUGGCAGAUCUGAAGUGGUGGUUCGUGGUUGACGCUCGACGGAGAGAGUACCGGCGGUGAAUAGUGAGGUAGAUGAGUUUAAUGGGGGUGAUGGUGAACGGCGGUUUGGGAUGGUGAGGAAACCGCGGCGGAGGUGCGGCAGAAGGGUUCGCGACAGUGGAAGUGAGAGGACGACGAAGAAGGUUCUACGUGUCGUUAAAAGAAGAAUAUCCGGUUGGAGUUGUUAUGUGGCAUUUUUGUAGCGUUUCCGACGGGUGUGUUGGUGUGCGGUGGGUUUUGUUGAUGUUUUGACGUUGUUAUUUUUGACGCGAGUGACAAUUAGUAACAUUAAUUUGUUGUGUCGUUAAUGUUAAAAUAGAGUAUGGAGUUUUUUCAUCAUUGGGUUGAAUGGGAUUUUGAGGAAUUUUUUUAAUGUUUUUGUAAGUGAAGAAAGAAGGUAUGAGGGAAUGAUGAGGAAUUCGGCCGGUGUGAUGGUGGUUUACGGUUGCGUUAAAGUGUCGGUGUCGCGGACGGUGAGAAAAUGAGGGAUGGGUCGUAAAUGGAGUUUUGGAAAGGAAAUGGAAGGGUUUCACCGGAAACAGAGGGAGAGGAAUGGUUGAAGGAGAAGAUAAUUUUGUUUCAAUUCACUGUAUGUUUUUUUCUUUUUUACGUGUAGCGGUAAAUUCAUGACCAUUAAGCUAUCGAUAAACUUAACGUCAAUAAAACCAGAGUCG